Molecule: ribosomal RNA, 426 nt
Filed under: uncultured bacterium
Lineage: Bacteria
Description: bacterial SSU rRNA
Rfam family: Bacterial small subunit ribosomal RNA
Source: RNAcentral
UGGGGAAUUUUUCGCAAUGGGGGAAACCCUGACGAAGCAACGCCGCGUGGAGGAUGAAGGCCUUCGGGUCGUAAACUCCUGUCGACCGGGAAGAAUGCACCUGACCUAAUACGUCGGCGUGUUGACUGUACCGGUGGAGGAAGCCACGGCUACCUCUGUGCCAGCAGCCGCGGUAAUACAGAGGUGGCAAGCGUUGUUCGGAAUUACUGGGCGUAAAGGGCGCGUAGGCGGCCCGUCAAGUCCCGUGUGAAAGCCCCCGGCUCAACCGGGGAACGGCGCGGGAAACUAGCAGGCUUGAGUUCGGGAGAGGGAAGCGGAAUUCCGGGUGUAGCGGUGAAAUGCGCAGAUAUCCGGAGGAACACCGGUGGCGAAGGCGGCUUCCUGGACCGACACUGACGCUGAGGCGCGAAAGCUAGGGGAGCAAAC